CCCUCGGAGUUUUGUGGAGGGGGGCAUGAGCAAGAAUCAUGGGGGACUCCCGUGGGAGAGGGUGUUAAGGGUCGGUUUGGCCAUAGGAGGAAAGGGUAGGGAGGGAACGGAUUAUGUGGCGUGUAUGUCCCCGCGAAUAAGUGGGGACUAAGUGGGGGCUUAUCAGCGGGGUCCGUUCUGUAAGUAAGCAAGUAAGUGCCCAACGAGGGAAUACGGGGGCAAGGUUAAAAUUCGAAAGUAUAAAGCGGGGGCCCGCGCAAGCGGCGGAGCAUGUGCUGUAAUUCGAUGCAUCGGGAAGAGCGUGAGUGCGUUGUUCUACGCCGAAAAAGUUACAGAGAUGUAGUGUCCGCAAGGUCCGGCGAUAGGUGGUGCAUGGCUGUCAUCAGGUCGUGUCGGCAGAAGUGGGGUUAAUUCCCGCAGCGAGUGCAACCGUGGUCCCAUGUUACCAGCGGGUUAUGCCGGGGACUGGUGGGAGACUGCCGGGGUCAACUCGGAGAAAGGUGGGGAUGACGUCAAGUCAGCAUGCCCCCUAUGUCCAGGGAUGGACACAUGCUACAAUGGCCGGUACAAAGGGCUACUAUACCGCGAGGGGGAGCGAAUCCCAAAAAGCCGGUGAAAGUUCGGAUUGGAGUUUGCAACUGGACUCCAUGAAGUCGGAGUCGCUAGUAAUCCCGGAUCAGCAACGCCGGGGUGAAUACGUUCCCGGGCUUUGUACACACCGCCCGUCACACCACGAAAGUUGGUAACACCUGAAGCCGGUGGCCCAACCGCAAGGAGGGAGGGGUAAAAGGUGGGAUCAGCGAUCGGGGUGAAGUCGUAACAAGGUAAAUCCUAUUUUGGGAAAGGCCAUGGCGGCCGGGCCCAGUCNUGA
RNAcentral lists this ribosomal RNA (871 nucleotides) under uncultured bacterium. Its description in RNAcentral is "bacterial SSU rRNA". The stretch from base 206 to 839 matches the Rfam family "Bacterial small subunit ribosomal RNA", at positions 875 to 1520 of the family's 1533-position model. The record is from RNAcentral.